UCAGAUACAUGAAAACUUUGCUGGCGUAUGCAGUCGCCAUAAAUAAGGCAUGGCUUAACCUCUAUCACCAGCCAAAAAGAAACGAGAGGAGCCAAUGGCAUCAAGAGGAAGUGAGUUCGGUCAUAAUACUAAGUAGAUUUGGACAUAUGAUGGUAGUGUUUACAAUGACCAUUAGGAACGUCUGCUACUAUGAGAUAGUCGACACAAACGAAACAACGAAUGCGACCCGGUGUCUCAAGUUCCUCAAGAAGCUAUUAAAAUCCAUCAAGCUUCCACCUGUCUUGAAGGCGGUGCCAAUGAAAACUAAUGGCCGUACGCUUUGCCGCCUUCUUCGCUCACUUUCCGUAAGGUGAUCUACCUACAGAUAAUACAAAAAGCGCCGUAGUCUGGGUAGCAGUAAAACUUCUGCAACGAUGGAAGAGCGAAAUCUGUGGAACUGGUGUAACUGUAGUGAGGAUCAGGUGUGGCACUGGAUCGUCCUACGUUACCGCGACGAUCUUUACGAACAAGGUGACCAGAACAUGCCAAUGAAUGAAUCGCAAAUCAUUUUUGACUUAGAUUGAUCAAAUGGUUGCGUGUCGUUGUUCCUAUUAGAUAACGACGGUUAGCGUAGUGAGCUACACACACCCCGAAACGAGAUAAAAGCUGCACUGCAAUACCGCACAUAUCGAAUCACCAGUCGUGAAGAAAUAUUUGAUCCUAUUCUGCGGCUUAACAUACUCACAAAGAUUCGGAUUAUUUUUGUCCGAAAACUAGAAAAAUUUAAGAUCGAUAGC
Molecule: long non-coding RNA, 776 nt
Organism: Varroa destructor (honeybee mite)
Lineage: Eukaryota; Metazoa; Arthropoda; Arachnida; Mesostigmata; Varroidae
Source: RefSeq, a predicted model, not a curated record